This 1584-nucleotide unclassified non-coding RNA is filed under the name Amphimedon queenslandica. RNAcentral describes it as "aspartate aminotransferase, mitochondrial-like, transcript variant X2". Lineage: Eukaryota; Metazoa; Porifera; Demospongiae; Haplosclerida; Niphatidae. The record is from RNAcentral.
GGUCAACUCCUAGCUGUUCCAAACUUUCAGUUGUGGACAGGCUAAACCCAAGUUCAUCCUUUGUACUGAGUUGCUUUUGAGUUUGCUUUUUAUUAACAAUAAUUAAUGGAAACACCAGAUGAAACUUCAAGACUUGACUAUUAUGGGGCGUUUUCUCAUGCAAUUGAUGUGAAAGAUCUCAAACCUGGUGACCAUAUUUACUGUCAUAGAAGUGCCUUAUUUUUCUACAGUCAUCAUGGCAUUUAUGUUGGUGAGCCUGACUGUGAGGUGAUUCACUUCAGUGGUAUACCAGACUCCAAGAUUGGGUCAUCAUCAGAUUCGUCCUUGGAUGAUGAAACAAAGCUGUUGCUACAAGAGCUUCAAACAUUACCAAAAGAUUCCAAAAGGGCUAAAGAAAUUGAGAAGAAAUUAAAAAUAUGCAUUAAAUCAACUACUCUGGCUGAAUUUCAGUAUGGCUCUACCCUUCGCUUAGUCGCAUAUGGCUGCAGUGGAACCAAACAAUUUUUUGCUAUGGUUAGUAGUCACUGUGUGAAGGUAAUGCCUUCUUCAGAAACAGUUAAGUUAGCCAAACAUUUUCGUGAUCAUCCAGAAAAGUGGAAUGAAUAUCACCUUAGAUAUAACAACUGUGAAACAUUUGCGACAUUCUGCAAAACAGGCCGGUUGGAUUUAGCAGCACAGCUUUACCAACUUGUGAGAAACGUGUUUACUGAAUGGAAGAUGGGGCCAACAUGUCAGACAGCUGAAGAAGUAUUGACAAAAUAUCAGGUAGAAGAUGAUUCAGCAAUCAGAGUUGGGGUAAUGUCUCAUGCAAUUGAUAAAGAGCAUCUUAAACCUGGUGAUCAGGUUUAUUGCUAUAGAAACAUCUGCACUCAUCAUGGUAUUUAUAUUGGUGAGCCUGAUUGUGAGGUGAUUCACUUUAGUGGUGCAUCACGCAUCAAUUCAACUACUCUGGCUGAAUUUCAGUAUGGCUCUACACUUCGCUUAGUUGCAUAUGGCUGCAGUGGAACCAAACAAUUCUUUGCAGCAGCCAUGAUUAGUACUCACUGCAUAAAGGCAAUGCCUCCUUCAGAAACAGUUAAGUUGGCAAAACAUUUUCGUGAUCAUCCAGAGGAGUGGGAGGAAUAUCACCUCAAACAUAACAACAGUGAAACGUUUGCUUGCUUCUGCAAAACAGGCCUGCAGGAUAUAGCAGCACAGUUUUAUCAGUUUGAGAGAAGCGUGUUUACUGAAAAGGAUAAAGAACCCUGUAAAACAUUUGAAAAAGCGUUGGAAAAAUAUCGUGAGAAACCUUGAUGCAGCUACAAAACUCAAUGCACUGCUGUGUGAACAUUAGUAUACAUUGGAGCAUUGUUUUAGAGAGCUGCUUAAUGAACUUAAAAAGAAACAAUAAAGUGAGAAAGCAGGUCUCAUGCAAAAUAUUGAUGUAGUGAGAGUUGGAUAUGUAUCUCAUGCAAUUGAUGAGAAGAAUCUGAAGCCUAAGGAUCAGUUAUUUAGUUGGUUGAAAUGAAGGGUAUGGCUGACCGUAUCACUAGCAUGAGAACAUCACUGAAAGAAGCACUAGCUAAACAUAGUUCAACUCUGGAC